UCGGGAAUUUUGGGCAAUGGGCGCAAGCCUGACCCAGCAACGCCGCGUGAAGGAUGAAGUCCCUCGGGAUGUAAACUUCGAAAGAAUAGGAAGAAUAAAUGACGGUACUAUUUUUAAGCCCCGGCUAACUCCGUGCCAGCAGCCGCGGUAAUACGGAGGGGGCAAGCGUUGUUCGGAUUUACUGGGCGUAAAGGGCGCGUAGGCGGUUUGGUAAGUUACUUGUGAAAUCUCCGGGCUUAACUCGGAGCGGCCAAGUGAUACUGCCGAACUAGAGUGCAGAAGGGGCAAUUGGAAUUCUUGGUGUAGCGGUGAAAUGCGUAGAUAUCAAGAGGAACACCAGAGGCGAAGGCGAAUUGCUGGGCUGACACUGACGCUGAGGCGCGAAAGCUAGGGGAGCAAA
Molecule: ribosomal RNA, 400 nt
Filed under: uncultured bacterium
Lineage: Bacteria
Description: bacterial SSU rRNA
Rfam family: Bacterial small subunit ribosomal RNA
Source: RNAcentral